AACGAACGCUGGCGGCAUGCCUAACACAUGCAAGUCGAACGAGACCUUCGGGUCUAGUGGCGCACGGGUGCGUAACGCGUGGGAACCUGCCCUUAGGUUCGGAAUAACUCCCCGAAAGGGGUGCUGAUACCGGAUAAUGUCUUCGGACCAAAGAUUUAUCGCCUUUGGAUGGGCCCGCGUUGGAUUAGCUAGUUGGUAGGGUAAAAGCCUACCAAGGCGACGAUCCAUAGCUGGUCUGAGAGGAUGAUCAGCCAUACUGGGACUGAGACACGGCCCAGACUCCUACGGGAGGCAGCAGUGGGGAAUAUUGGACAAUGGGCGAAAGCCUGAUCCAGCAAUGCCGCGUGAGUGAUGAAGGCCUUAGGGUUGUAAAGCUCUUUUACCCGGGAUGAUAAUGACAGUACCGGGAGAAUAAGCUCCGGCUAACUCCGUG
RNAcentral lists this ribosomal RNA (433 nucleotides) under uncultured bacterium. RNAcentral describes it as "partial 16S ribosomal RNA". It matches the Rfam family "Bacterial small subunit ribosomal RNA", at positions 29 to 507 of the family's 1533-position model. The record is from RNAcentral.